GCCUUAUAGUUAUAGCUCAGUGGUUAGAGCGUCUGUCCGGUUUUCAGAAGGUUACGUGGUUCAAUUCACGUUAGGGCU
Molecule: transfer RNA, 78 nt
Filed under: Paramuricea clavata
Lineage: Eukaryota; Metazoa; Cnidaria; Anthozoa; Malacalcyonacea; Plexauridae
Description: tRNA-Thr
Rfam family: tRNA (bases 11-73)
About the family: Transfer RNA (tRNA) molecules are approximately 80 nucleotides in length. Their secondary structure includes four short double-helical elements and three loops (D, anti-codon, and T loops).
Source: RNAcentral